Molecule: non-coding RNA, 74 nt
Organism: Galeopterus variegatus (Sunda flying lemur)
Lineage: Eukaryota; Metazoa; Chordata; Mammalia; Dermoptera; Cynocephalidae
Source: the annotation of a RefSeq genome assembly
GGCCAGUUAGCUCAGUUGGUUACAGCAUGGUGCUAAUAACACCAAGGUCCAGGGUUUAAUCCCCGUACUGGCCA